Molecule: ribosomal RNA, 229 nt
Filed under: uncultured bacterium
Lineage: Bacteria
Description: partial 16S ribosomal RNA
Rfam family: Bacterial small subunit ribosomal RNA
Source: RNAcentral
CGUGUAGGCGGCCUGGAAAGUCGGAUGUGAAAGCCCGGGGCCCAACCCCGGAACUGCAUUCGAAACUUCCUGGCUAGAGUCUCGGAGAGGAGAGCGGAAUUCCCGGUGUAGAGGUGAAAUUCGUAGAUAUCGGGAGGAACACCAGCGGCGAAGGCGGCUCUCUGGACGAUGACUGACGCUGAGACGCGAAAGCGUGGGGAGCAAACAGGAUUAGAUACCCUGGUAGUCC